GACGAACGCUGGCGGCGUGCUUAACACAUGCAAGUCGAACGGAAAGGCCCUGCUUUUGUGGGGUGCUCGAGUGGCGAACGGGUGAGUAACACGUGAGUAACCUGCCCUUGACUUUGGGAUAACUUCAGGAAACUGGGGCUAAUACCGGAUAGGAGCUCCUGCUGCAUGGUGGGGGUUGGAAAGUUUCGGCGGUUGGGGAUGGACUCGCGGCUUAUCAGCUUGUUGGUGGGGUAGUGGCUUACCAAGGCUUUGAAGGGUAGCCGGCCUGGGAGGGUGACCGGCCACAUUGGGACUGAGAUACGGCCCAGACUCCUACGGGAGGCAGCAGUGGGGAAUAGUGCACAAUGGGCGGAAGCCUGAUGCAGCAACGCCGCGUGCGGGAUGACGGCCUUCGGGUUGUAAACCGCUUUCGCCUGUGACGAAGCGUGAGUGACGGUAAUGGGUAAAGAAGCACCGGCUAACUACGUG
RNAcentral lists this ribosomal RNA (468 nucleotides) under uncultured bacterium. RNAcentral's name for it is "partial 16S ribosomal RNA". It matches the Rfam family "Bacterial small subunit ribosomal RNA", at positions 28 to 507 of the family's 1533-position model. The record is from RNAcentral.